RNAcentral lists this ribosomal RNA (905 nucleotides) under uncultured bacterium. RNAcentral's name for it is "bacterial SSU rRNA". It matches the Rfam family "Bacterial small subunit ribosomal RNA", at positions 1 to 899 of the family's 1533-position model. The record is from RNAcentral.
AUUAGAGUUUGAUCCUGGCUCAGAGUGAACGCUGGCGGCGUGCCUAACACAUGCAAGUCGAGCGAAUUUUGGCAGCACAUCGCCAAAGUUAGCGGCAGACGGGUGAGUAAUUCUUGGGCAAUCUGCCCUUUAGAGGGAAACAACCGGCCGAAAGGCUGGCUAAUGUCCCGUAAGACCACGGAAUGGCAUCAUUCAGAGGUUAAAGCUCCGCAAGGGGCGCUAGAGGAGGAGCCCAAGGCCUAUCAUGGUAGUUGGUGGGGUAACGGCCCACCAAGCCUUUGACGGGUAGCCGGCCUGAAAGGGUGAUCGGCCACACUGGCACUGAGACACGGGCCAGACUCCUACGGGAGGCAGCAGUGGGGAAUUUUGGACAAUGGGGGCAACCCUGAUCCAGCGACGCCGCGUGGAGGACGAAGGUCUUCGGAUUGUAAACUCCUUUUGAGGGGGAAGAAUGCCCUGGUGAAAAGCCAGGGGUGACGGUACUCCUCGAAUAAGCCACGGCUAACUACGUGCCAGCAGCCGCGGUAAUACGUAGGUGGCAAGCGUUACUCGGAAUCACUAGGCGUAAAGCGCAGGUAGGCGGUUUGAUAAGUCUGUUGUGAAAGCUCCCGGCUCAACUGGGAGAGGCCAACGGAAACUGUCAGGCUUGAGUGUGGUAGAGGAAACUGGAAUUCCUGGUGUAGCGGUGAAAUGCGUAGAUAUCAGGAGGAACACCUAUGGCGAAAGCAGGUUUCUGGGCCAUCACUGACGCUGAGCUGCGAAAGCUAGGGGAGCAAACAGGAUUAGAUACCCUGGUAGUCCUAGCCCUAAACUAUGUUCACUAGGUGUGAGAGGUAUCGACCCCUUUCGCGCCGUAGCUAACGCAUUAAGUGAACCGCCUGGGGAGUACGGCCGCAAGGUUGAAA